CUAGGAAGACUUUGAGAUUGCUUGAGACGCUGACUGCUCUUUGUGCAAGCCUCCUUGCAGCAUGGACUAGAACAAAUCCCAGAGGGCAGCGCCCUGUGCUGCGGGUGGCUGCCUUACAGAUAACGUUGGACAUGAAGCGGGCUGCAGAGAAGCAGUGCCAGUCUUUCUACUGAUAAAGCUUUCCUUUGAAGCUCUUGAGCUGUUAUUUUGUCUGCCUGUGUAUUUUUGAAGAGCAUUGUGUACGUUUAGUGGCGUAAAUAAAUAAAUAAAGCCUUGCACAUUUAUCUCUGAUGAAGGCUUGCUGUAAAUUUAUAUGCAAAUGAAGCUCAGC
Molecule: long non-coding RNA, 331 nt
Organism: Oxyura jamaicensis (ruddy duck)
Lineage: Eukaryota; Metazoa; Chordata; Aves; Anseriformes; Anatidae
Exons: 3
Source: RefSeq, a predicted model, not a curated record